AUAAUUUUCUAUUAAACAAAUUUCGAAAAAAUUUAAUAUUUUCCGAGACAAUGAGUGUCUUAUGAUAGAUUGAUUACUUUGUAUUUCAUUAUAUAUGUAUAUAUAUAUUGAAAUAUUUUGGAGUUUUUGAAAAUACAUUAUUAAUAGUUAAGGUGACACUGGUAUAGGUAUAAUUAUAUAAUUAUAUUAUAUAGCUAUAUGAUUCACGUGAGUAGGCACACUGCAUGGGGCAAAAAAUACAUUCUAGCAAUAAAUGGGUUUUCUCCACCGUUAGAAAUAAUUAUAUAUAUUCAAACUUUAGAAGGUUACUGCAUACAUUUUUUUGAAAAUACUAUUAUAUAUUAGAAAUUCAAAUUAUUUCAUAAAAUAAAAAAAACUGGAAGGAUAUAGGUGGCAGGAGAAGUAAUUUAAAGCUUAAAUGUGAUGCGUAAUUAAGGUGUUAAAGGGAUAAUAAGCAGUAAUUAAUGGGGUAGAAAUUAUAAGGAAAGAUCGCUCCUCCAUUAGUUCUUUUUAUAAUAAAUAACGUUG
Molecule: non-coding RNA, 528 nt
Organism: Cinara cedri
Lineage: Eukaryota; Metazoa; Arthropoda; Insecta; Hemiptera; Aphididae
Source: the annotation of a GenBank genome assembly